Thalassophryne amazonica is the source of this 134-nucleotide long non-coding RNA. RefSeq lists it as uncharacterized. Lineage: Eukaryota; Metazoa; Chordata; Actinopteri; Batrachoidiformes; Batrachoididae. The record is from RefSeq and is a predicted model, not a curated record. The transcript has 3 exons.
UCUAUAGACACCUGGAACAGUCGAAUUGACCCCCUUGUCUGGGCGUCACCAUGUUGAGAGCCCCGCCCGCACUGAUUCACGAUGAACUCAUUAAUGAAUAAAGGGGUGGGGCAUGGGUGUCACAAAAAGGCCAG